Molecule: ribosomal RNA, 119 nt
Organism: Microcebus murinus (gray mouse lemur)
Lineage: Eukaryota; Metazoa; Chordata; Mammalia; Primates; Cheirogaleidae
Source: Ensembl
GUCUACAGCUAUACCACCCUAAAUGUGCCCGAUCUCAACUGAUCUUGGAAGCUACUCGGGGUCCAGCCUGGUUAGUGGUUGGAAGGGAGACCACCUGGGUAUACUAGGUGCUGUAGACU